AUUACCUACGGGGCGCAGCAGUGAGGAAUAUUGGUCAAUGGCCGGAAGGCUGAACCAGCCAAGUCGCGUGAGGGACGACUGCCCUAUGGGUUGUAAACCUCUUUUAUAAGGGAAGAAUAAAUGCUACGUGUAGCAUGAUGCCUGUACCUUAUGAGUAAGCAUCGGCUAACUCCGUGCCAGCAGCCGCGGUAAUACGGAGGAUGCGAGCGUUAUCCGGAUUUAUUGUGUUUAAAGGGUGCGUAGGCGGUUUUUUAAGUUAGUGGUUAAACGUCGGGGCUUGACCUUGAUUUGGCAUUAACACUGUA
This 305-nucleotide ribosomal RNA is filed under the name uncultured bacterium. Its description in RNAcentral is "bacterial SSU rRNA". It matches the Rfam family "Bacterial small subunit ribosomal RNA", at positions 334 to 637 of the family's 1533-position model. The record is from RNAcentral.